This 71-nucleotide transfer RNA is filed under the name Parcubacteria group bacterium CG1_02_40_25. Its description in RNAcentral is "tRNA-Cys". It matches the Rfam family "tRNA". Rfam says of the family: Transfer RNA (tRNA) molecules are approximately 80 nucleotides in length. Their secondary structure includes four short double-helical elements and three loops (D, anti-codon, and T loops). Further hydrogen bonds mediate the characteristic L-shaped molecular structure. tRNAs have two regions of fundamental functional importance: the anti-codon, which is responsible for specific mRNA codon recognition, and the 3' end, to which the tRNAs corresponding amino acid is attached (by aminoacyl-tRNA synthetases). tRNAs cope with the degeneracy of the genetic code in two manners: having more than one tRNA (with a specific anti-codon) for a particular amino acid; and 'wobble' base-pairing, i.e. permitting non-standard base-pairing at the 3rd anti-codon position. RNAcentral also lists the same sequence under 2 other names. The record is from RNAcentral.
GGCCACGUGGCGGAGUAGCUACGCAGCGGUCUGCAAAACCGUUUACACCGGCGCAAAUCCGGUCGUGGCCU